AAUGGUCUUCGAUUGUUCUGUGCUCCUCCAUCCUCUAUUCUCUUUCAAGUAUUUAACAAACAAACAGAAAAUUAUUAAUAUUAGGGCACAAUGUGUGUUCAAAGUCAAGGAUUUGUGUCCAAAUGAUUAAACUGACUGCUGUAGAGUAGCCGAACAAUUUCAUAAUGUCUAGUCAAGAGAAAAUAGACGAGAUGCUUAAUCGUAUAAGGCAGCCAAACGGCCUCCCAACAAAUGGAAUUCGGGCAAGUCCUGGUGGAGGGACCAGUCCUAAUCGGAGGAAUCUUUCAUUGCCCAUGGAAGUAGGCGAGCCACGAAGAGUAACACCAAGGCCUAAUGCCUUGAAGUUUACAAUUAAUAGACAACAAAACAUUGAGACUGAAACAAAGCUUAAGGAAAUAAUGAAAAUAAGUGGAAAACUGAAAAUAAAUAACAUUGAAUAUAACACUGAUAUCAAAGAUCUAGAACUUAUUGAAGAGUUGGGACAUGGAACUUGCGGCCAUGUUUAUAAAAUGAAACACAAGAAGAGUAACGAAAUUAUUGCUGUUAAACAAAUGAGAAGAUCUGGAAAUUCUGAAGAGAAUAAAAGAAUCAUCAUGGAUAUUGAAGUGGUCCUCAAGAGUCACGAUUGUAAAUUUAUUGUGCAGUGUUUGGGCUGUUUUAUAACAGAAUCAGAGGUUUGGAUAUGUAUGGAACUGAUGGCUACCUGUUUCGAUAAAUUACUGAAGAAACUCAAAAAACCUAUUCCUGAAAGAAUUCUCGGAAAAGUGACGGUAGCUACGGUCGAAGCUCUGUCUUAUCUUAAAGACAAACAUGGGGUGAUGCAUCGUGAUGUUAAACCUUCAAACAUUCUCCUUGACGAAAAGGGAAAUGUCAAAUUGUGUGAUUUUGGUAUAAGCGGUAGGUUGGUUGAUUCAAUGGCUAAAACAAGAAGUGCUGGCUGUGCAGCAUACAUGGCUCCCGAGAGAAUAGAACCGAACCCCGAAAAUCCUGAUUAUGAUGUUCGUGCUGACGUUUGGUCCUUGGGAAUAACUCUUGUGGAACUGGCUACGGGGGUGUUUCCCUAUCAAGACUGCAAGACUGAUUUCGAGGUAUUGGCCAAAGUCAUCAACCAAGACCCGCCCUCGCUUCCGAAAAAUAAGGGGUUCAGUUCUGAUUUUCAAGAUUUCGUGUCGUGUUGCUUGCGGAAGCAACAUCAGAGCAGACCCAAGUAUCGAGAAUUGAAAAAGCAUGCGUUCAUUAAAAAGUACGAAACGGAGGAGGUAAAUGUCGGAAAAUGGUUUAUCGAAGCAGUGGAUGAGGCUGAUAGGUCAGCCAAUAGACAAAGCCUGACGCCGUCCGCCUUCCGUCGUUUCUUCACCUCGCAGCAGCCUCAGGCCGUCAAGGCCGCGAGCGCGGCCACGCCCCCCUUCACGCCCCUCCCGGUCAACGGGAACGCGGCUAGUCCCUACAGACUGCUGUCGGACACGCCUCCGACGUCCGACGCCCGCCCGACCGACCCCAGGGCGACGCACAGCUCGCGUCUGGGCGCCUUCCAGUCGCUGACGGGCCAGCGAGCGCGCGCGCAGCCCGUCGAGGACGCGAAGCCGCCCCCAAACGGCCUGCGCGAAACGAACUACUUCGUGCUGUCGCCGAAAAGAGACUCGCCCCUCCCCCUGCCCGGCUCGCUAAGAGACGAUGCCAUCAAGUUCGGUUCGCCGGUGUUGCCACGUCGGCAGGUCGACAGCCCGCUGGGCUCGCCCUACCCGCAGAAGAGGGGCGUGAGCGAGAGCAGGUGGAGGACGCCCAACACGUCGCCGUUGCCGCUCAGGGCCAACCAGCCGGGCGACGCGGACUGUUGUUGUAGCAAUACUAGUCCCAUUGUGUUUCAGAGGUUCAUACAUCAGCAGAAACAGCAGCAGCUUGCGAAGGAGGCGGAGGAGGAGGCGAAAUAUAAUCCCGGUAAAAAAAGGUUCACGUCUUACAUUAAACUGCAACUGAAUGGAGACAAAAAUGGUAGAUCGUCGCCACGACAUCAAAGCCCCGAACCGCCUCCUAGAUUGAGUAGACUGAACGGAGAUAGUCCCUUGCCGUUACGGAAAAAUAUAUUAGAUUCUAAUGGGGCUUCUCCUAGCUUGUCAAGAAGGUACGUCUCACCAUCGCCUCCUAUACCCCCACCUCGUAGAUUGUCAGAAAGCACUUCAGUACCUGGGUCGCCUCAGCAUUCGAAAGCUAGGUUCUACUAUACGCCAGAGCCUCAUAGACGCUUUUUGUCAUGAUAGCUAAUAAUUGACUUAGUUUGGAAUGAAUAUUGAUCCCUUCAUCGCUUCUUUCCAUGAAGAAUAAUGAGGAGUGAAUGAAGCGCUUCCAUCCAUCCAAUCCACACAAAAAAAAAGGAGAAAGACAAAGAUUAAUGGAAUAGGGCUUAUAACUCCGAAGUUUUGAAUUCUACUCUUUAAAAAUCCUAAUUCUUAUCUUAGGUUUUGAAGAAAGGUAACUAAUUGGUUUCAUUAUCAACCGAAUCUACGUGGCUGUAUUUUUCGGCAAAAUUUUCUGCUUUGUUCUGUUAUAAGAUCUCUGAUCAACUAUAUAUAAUCCUCGAUCGAAAUUAUCUUUAAUUCUGCUGCUCGUGAAAGUUUAGUAUGAUAUUCAGAGAAAUGCCGAAACGAUUCUAUGUCAUUUCAUGAAUCGGUUUCGGAUAGUUUCUCUGUAUCUGCUUCUCGGUCUUCAGCAUUGCUCCAUCUCGAUCAUUUUCAGCUAUUGAAUUCAAAAAAUUAUAUUUCGACCUAUACUCGGAAGGGAAUGUUUAAUCACAGACUGAAAGGGAUCUAGUAUUUUGGUUUGAACGAGACUUUUUGCAAUAUUUCCCCCAUUUUAUUUCUCAAUGCAUAUUACAUUUUCCCGAUGUAAACUUGCAAACGGAAAAUAGUCAUAUAUUUUACUAGUCCUUAUUUAAUAAUUUGUAGUUAAGUCGUGAACACACCUCAAAACAAAAUAGAUUUAUCAUAAUUUUGAGACGAUUGUAUAAUUUGUACAUAAAAAAUAAAUUAUGAAUUUAAAA
Coccinella septempunctata (seven-spotted ladybird) is the source of this 3037-nucleotide RNA transcript. It is a transcript of the gene named dual specificity mitogen-activated protein kinase kinase 7-like, with no coding region annotated. The transcript is spliced from 10 exons. Lineage: Eukaryota; Metazoa; Arthropoda; Insecta; Coleoptera; Coccinellidae. The record is from RefSeq and is a predicted model, not a curated record.